GAAAACGGAUUGUGUAACAAGUGCUAUUGUCGAACCAGAAGCAGAAAAAAGCAUUAAUAUUUUUCUUUUGCCAACUAGCGGUAGGGGAGCGUAGUAACGACAGCGAAGUUAGACUGUAAGGACUAAUGGAGUUUUUACUAGUGAGAAUGCCGGCGUGAGUAACGAUAGAAGGUGAGAAUCCUUCUGGCCGAAUGACCAAGGUUUCCCGGGUGAAGGUCGUCUGCCCGGGGUUAGUCGGGGCCUAAGGCGAGGCCGAAAGGCGUAGUCGAUGGAUAAUAGGUUAAUAUUCCUAUACUCACCAUAAUUACCGAAGGAGUGACGAAGUCAGCUACGAUAGCCAGUGAUUGAUAGUGCUGGUCUAAGUAUAAAGAGGGCCGAGUUGGUAAAUCCGCUCGGUGCGGUUUUUUAGCCGCAACCUUGAAAUACGAAAGAUAGGGGCAACCCGAAGUAUCCGAACGCUUUGCUUCCCAGAAAAACUUCUAAAGAUAUAAUUAUGGUACCCGUACCGAGAACGAACACACGUGGUCGAGGAGAAUAUCCACAGGCCAGCGAGCUAACUAUGGUUAAGGAACUCGGCAAAUUAGCCCCGUAAGUUCGCGAGAAGGGGUGCCCAGGGCAACCUGGGCCGCAGUGAAGAGGCACGAACGACUGUUUAUCAAAAACACAGCUCUCUGCUAACUCGUAAGAGGAUGUAUAGGGGGCGACGCCUGCCCAGUGCUCCAAGGUUAAGAGGAGAGGUCAACCGAACAGCAAUGGUCGGGGCAGCUUUGAAUUGAAGCCCGAGUGAACGGCGGCCGUAACUAUAACGGUCCAAAGGUAGCGAAAUUCCUUGUCAGGUAAGUUCUGACCCGCAUGAAAGGCGUAACGAUUCGUGCACUGUCUCAACCAUAGGCUCGGUGAAAUCUUAGUACCAGUGAAGAUGCUGGUUACCCGCAACUAGACGGAAAGACCCCGUGGAGCUUUACUGCAACCUGAUAUUGGAUUUUCUUCUGGCUUGUACAGGAUAGGUGGGAGACUAUGAUUCCGAGACGCUAGUUUCGGAGGAGUCGCCGGUGGGAUACCACUCUGGCGAGCGGAAAAUUCUAACUUGUUGGUUUACAGCCAAAAGGACAGUGUUUGGUGGGUAGUUUGACUGGGGCGGUCGCCUCCUAAAAAGUAACGGAGGUGUUCAUAAGGUAUCCUCAAUAGGAAUAGAAAUCCUAUGUUGAGUGUAAAGGCAUAAGGAUACUUAACUGUGAGACUAACAAGUCGAACAGAUGCGAAAGCAGGACUUAGUGAUCCGGCGGUUCUUAGUGGUAAGGCCGUCGCUAAACGGACAAAAGUUACCCCGGGGAUAACAGGCUAAUACUUCCCAAGAGACCACAUCGACGGAAGUGUUUGGCACCUCGAUGUCGGCUCAUCGCAUCCUGGUGGGGCAGAACCUACCAAGGGUUGGGCUGUUCGCCCAUUAAAGCGGUACGUGAGCUGGGUUCAGAACGUCGUGAGACAGUUUGGUCCCUAUCUGUUGUGGGCGUGAGGAAAUUUGCGAAGUGCUGCUCCUAGUACGAGAGGACCGGAGUGGACCGACCAAGGGUGUUCCAGUUGUCACGUCAGUGGCACGGCUGGUUAGCUAUGUCGGGACGAGAUAAGCACUGAAAGCAUCUAAGUGCGAAGCUCACUUCUAGAUAAGAUUUCCCAUCCGUCAAAGGAGUAAGAUACCUUCAAGACUAGGAGGUUGA
This 1718-nucleotide ribosomal RNA is filed under the name Candidatus Glomeribacter gigasporarum. RNAcentral describes it as "bacterial LSU rRNA". It matches the Rfam family "Bacterial large subunit ribosomal RNA", at positions 1166 to 2856 of the family's 2925-position model. Lineage: Bacteria; Pseudomonadati; Pseudomonadota; Betaproteobacteria; Burkholderiales; Burkholderiaceae. The record is from RNAcentral.